Molecule: small RNA, 29 nt
Filed under: Bombyx mori (domestic silkworm)
Lineage: Eukaryota; Metazoa; Arthropoda; Insecta; Lepidoptera; Bombycidae
Description: ovarian small RNA-7281
Source: RNAcentral
UCCCCGGAGCUGCACUCCGUGCUGGAGCC